Molecule: long non-coding RNA, 1678 nt
Organism: Mesoplodon densirostris (Blainville's beaked whale)
Lineage: Eukaryota; Metazoa; Chordata; Mammalia; Artiodactyla; Ziphiidae
Exons: 3
Source: RefSeq, a predicted model, not a curated record
CCCUGGGCCCUGCCUAUCUCUGAAGGGCUCUUCCAGUUCCUAAGCUCUCCACAGGCUAGGCCAGGCGUUAGGGCAGCUGGGACCGGGAGGAGGAACGCCUAUUCUCUUCCUACUCCAAGGAAGAUCAGUAGCUCAGAAUCUCAGAACAGAGGGUUCUCAGACCUAAGUGUGGUGAGCAGACGAUGCAGACAGUGCGAGGAGUCAGCAGAGGAAUUGUGGAAACAGGUUGGAAAGUGGCAAGCACAGGAGAGAUUACAGCGUCUCUCUCUCUCUCUCUCUCGGGAUCCCUGGCCUUGGUAGUGUGGGGUCCCUAUUCCCUAGAUUCCUCUACUACUGGGGUCUCUAAAAGAAGCCAAGGACAGAUUGGGAAAGGAGAGUGGGGAAGGGGACCCUUAGGGUUUUCUCCCGGGUUUGUGCGCCGCGCCGCCCCGCGGCCGGUCCGCGCGACUGCAGAAGUACUUGGUGACCCGGCGGCGGCACUGCUCGCAGCGGACCGCGCAGCACCAGUGGAACUUGCAGUUGCAGCUGGACACGGUCUCGGCGCGGCGCUCCUCCACCGCUAGCCCACAGUCCCCACAGAGCCGACGGCAGCUUCGGCGCUCCCAGCGGCCCAGGGCCCGGCCGCGCCGCAGGCACUCUCUGCCUUCGGUGCCCAGCAGUCCUAGAGUUUUGUUCUCCAGGCAGUAGUCUGGGGAGUCCUCCAGGUGCACCAGCUCCCUCGUGGAGAUGGAGCGAAAGGUGUCUGCGAUGGCGCCGCGGCCCGCCGCGCUGUUGCCAGCACCCUGCAGCAGGUCCACCUUGAGAGCUGCGUGGUACUUCUCUUUCAGGUGCGCGCCCACCUCUCGGAACUCAGGCAGCUGCAGCCAGCAGGUCUGCGUGGUGCAGCUGCCAGACACGCCGUGGCACUUACACGUGCGUUUCAUGGUGCCCUUCACCGCCUGGGAAGAGAGCUAGGAGUGAGCGGGCCAGGGAUUAAGCGCCUGGGGAGUGUCACCCUCUGGCGGGUUGCGAGGAUUCUAGCUAGUCUACGUGGCCAGCCGCCUCGAUGCCGCGAUUCCCCAAUCUGAUGAAUGAAUUGAAGAGCCGUCCGCACCUAGGGCUGGUAGUGGAUGGAGCCAGCUGCCUGACCCCAGGGGCUGCAGGACUCACCUUGCGGCCAGCCUCGUUGUUGUGCAGGUUCAUGGCUGCCCGAGCAUCCUGUCCUGUCUCCAGGGCAUCGACGAACUGCUUGGAUAUUGCCUCUCCGAAGCCCACGUUGUCGCUGCAGCCUCCCCACAGCCAGCCUUGACCCCCUGGAAAAAAGGCAGUGGGAAGAAAGGACGGCCCGGAGCCUCCUGGGCUGCUGGUUCUAACUUCAGCCAAUCCCGUGCCCAGGACUCCAGGACAUGAGUAGCUGCCAAGUGAGACAGGUGCCUGCUCACCCUGUUACUAUGUUUCUGGCCUUUGGGCAGAGUGUGCAGACCUCCGCCAGCGACUGACGCCUGGAAGGGACAUAAUGGUGCAACAAAGUUACUUCCUCCACUGAAGUCUUGAACUCUACAAAGUCAUCCAUGAAGAUUGGAAUCAACUUCUUCCAAACCACUGUUAACGUUGAUCUUUUGACCUCUUCCCAUGAAUCAUGAAUGUUCUUAAUUAUCUAGAAUGGUGAGUCCUUUUCGGAAGGUUCUCAAUUAACUUU